Molecule: transfer RNA, 73 nt
Filed under: Caudoviricetes sp.
Lineage: Duplodnaviria; Heunggongvirae; Uroviricota; Caudoviricetes
Description: tRNA-Lys
Rfam family: tRNA
About the family: Transfer RNA (tRNA) molecules are approximately 80 nucleotides in length. Their secondary structure includes four short double-helical elements and three loops (D, anti-codon, and T loops).
Source: RNAcentral
GGGCUUAUAGCUCAGUGGUAGAGCAGUGGUCUUUUAAGCCAUAUGUCACAGGUUCGAUUCCUGUUAAGUCCUA